AGAGUUUGAUCCUGGCUCAGGACGAACGCCGUCGGCGUGCUUAACACAUGCAAGUCGAACGAGAUCCAUGGUCUAUCAAUACACCGGAAGAUCUAGUGGCGAACGGGUGAGGAACACGUGAGAAACCUGCCCCAGACUUUGGGAUAACAACUGGAAACGCUUGCUAAUACCGAAUGACGUCGGAGAACCGCAUGGUUCACUGACGAAAGGAAUUCCGGUUUGGGAGGGUCUCGCGGCCUAUCAGCUUGUUGGUGGGGUAAUGGCCUACCAAGGCAACGACGGGUAGCUGGUCUGAGAGGAUGAUCAGCCACACUGGGACUGAGACACGGCCCAGACUCCUACGGGAGGCAGCAGUGGGGAAUCUUGCGCAAUGGGCGAAAGCCUGACGCAGCAACGCCGCGUGCGGGAUGAAGGCCUUCGGGCUGUAAACCGCUUUCAGCAGGAACGAAAAUGACGGUACCUGCAGAAGAAGGAGCGGCCAACUACGUGCCAGCAGCCGCGGUGACACGUAGGCUCCAAGCGUUGUCCGGAUUUAUUGGGCGUAAGGAGCUCGUAGGCGGUUGAGUAAGUCGGGUGUGAAAACUCUGGGCUUAACCCGGAGACGCCAUCCGAUACUGCUCUGACUUGAGUUCAGGAGGGGAGUGGGGAAUUCCUAGUGUAGCGGUGAAAUGCGCAGAUAUUAGGAGGAACGCCGGUGGCGAAGGCGCCACUCUGGACUGAAACUGACGCUGAGGAGCGAAAGCAUGGGUAGCAAACAGGAUUAGAUACCCUGGUAGUCCAUGCCGUAAACGGUGGGCACU
This 800-nucleotide ribosomal RNA is filed under the name uncultured bacterium. RNAcentral's name for it is "bacterial SSU rRNA". It matches the Rfam family "Bacterial small subunit ribosomal RNA", at positions 8 to 817 of the family's 1533-position model. The record is from RNAcentral.